CUAAUCUUAGUAAUUGGUAGAACAACUAGGCAGAAAAUCAGCAAGGUUAAAGAAGACUUGAAAGGAGUUCUCAGGGCUGCCAACCUUACAGUAGAGGUUGAGUAGUAGUAUAUUUCUCCUACAUAG
Molecule: small nucleolar RNA, 126 nt
Organism: Myotis lucifugus (little brown bat)
Lineage: Eukaryota; Metazoa; Chordata; Mammalia; Chiroptera; Vespertilionidae
Source: Ensembl